This 492-nucleotide ribosomal RNA is filed under the name uncultured bacterium. Its description in RNAcentral is "partial 16S ribosomal RNA". It matches the Rfam family "Bacterial small subunit ribosomal RNA", at positions 29 to 507 of the family's 1533-position model. The record is from RNAcentral.
AGUGAACGCUGGCGGUAGGCCUAACACAUGCAAGUCGAACGGCAGCACAGUAAGCGCUUGCUCUUACGGGUGGCGAGUGGCGGACGGGUGAGGCAUACAUCGGAAUCUACUUUUUCGUGGGGGAUAACGUAGGGCCACUUACGCUACUACCGCACACGACCUACGGGUGAAAGCAGGGGAUCUUCGGACCUUGCGCGACUGAAUGAGCCGAUGUCGGAUUAGCUAGUUGGCGGGGUAAAGGCCCACCAAGGCGACGAUCCGUAGCUGGUCUGAGAGGAUGAUCAGCCACACUGGAACUGAGACACGGUCCAGACUCCUACGGGAGGCAGCAGUGGGGAAUAUUGGACAAUGGGCGCAAGCCUGAUCCAGCCAUACCGCGUGGGUGAAGAAGGCCUUCGGGUUGUAAAGCCCUUUUGUUGGGAAAGAAAAGCAGCGGGUUAAUACCCCGCUGUUCUGACGGUACCCAAAGAAUAAGCACCGGCUAACUUCGUG